This 785-nucleotide ribosomal RNA is filed under the name Alteromonas hispanica. Its description in RNAcentral is "Bacterial small subunit ribosomal RNA". It matches the Rfam family "Bacterial small subunit ribosomal RNA", at positions 223 to 1000 of the family's 1533-position model. Lineage: Bacteria; Pseudomonadati; Pseudomonadota; Gammaproteobacteria; Alteromonadales; Alteromonadaceae. The record is from Rfam by way of RNAcentral.
AGAGAGGCCCAAGUGAGAUUAGCUAGUUGGUGAGGUAAAGGCUCACCAAGGCGACGAUCUCUAGCUGUUCUGAGAGGAAGAUCAGCCACACUGGGACUGAGACACGGCCCAGACUCCUACGGGAGGCAGCAGUGGGGAAUAUUGCACAAUGGGGGAAACCCUGAUGCAGCCAUGCCGCGUGUGUGAAGAAGGCCUUCGGGUUGUAAAGCACUUUCAGUUGUGAGGAAAAGUGAGUAGUUAAUACCUGCUCACCGUGACGUUAGCAACAGAAGAAGCACCGGCUAACUCCGUGCCAGCAGCCGCGGUAAUACGGAGGGUGCGAGCGUUAAUCGGAAUUACUGGGCGUAAAGCGCACGCAGGCGGUUUGUUAAGCUAGAUGUGAAAGCCCCGGGCUCAACCUGGGACGGUCAUUUAGAACUGGCAGACUAGAGUCUUGGAGAGGGGAGUGGAAUUCCAGGUGUAGCGGUGAAAUGCGUAGAUAUCUGGAGGAACAUCAGUGGCGAAGGCGACUCCCUGGCCAAAGACUGACGCUCAUGUGCGAAAGUGUGGGUAGCGAACAGGAUUAGAUACCCUGGUAGUCCACACCGUAAACGCUGUCUACUAGCUGUUUGUGACUUUAAGUCGUGAGUAGCGAAGCUAACGCGAUAAGUAGACCGCCUGGGGAGUACGGCCGCAAGGUUAAAACUCAAAUGAAUUGACGGGGGCCCGCACAAGCGGUGGAGCAUGUGGUUUAAUUCGAUGCAACGCGAAGAACCUUACCUACACUUGACAUGCAGAGAACUUUC